This 468-nucleotide ribosomal RNA is filed under the name uncultured bacterium. Its description in RNAcentral is "partial 16S ribosomal RNA". It matches the Rfam family "Bacterial small subunit ribosomal RNA", at positions 28 to 507 of the family's 1533-position model. The record is from RNAcentral.
GACGAACGCUGGCGGCGUGCUUAACACAUGCAAGUCGAACGGAAAGGCCCUGCUUUUGUGGGGUGCUCGAGUGGCGAACGGGUGAGUAACACGUGAGUAACCUGCCCUUGACUUUGGGAUAACUUCAGGAAACUGGGGCUAAUACCGGAUAGGAGCUCCUGCUGCAUGGUGGGGGUUGGAAAGUUUCGGCGGUUGGGGAUGGACUCGCGGCUUAUCAGCUUGUUGGUGGGGUAGUGGCUUACCAAGGCUUUGCCGGGUAGCCGGCCUGAGAGGGUGACCGGCCACAUUGGGACGGAGAUACGGACCAGACUCCUACGGGAGGCAGAAGGGGGGAAUAUUGCACAAUGGGCGGAAGCCUGAUGCAGCAACGCCGCGUGCGGGAUGACGGCCGUCGGGUUGUAAACCGCUUUCGCCUGUGACGAAGCGUGAGUGACGGUAAUGGGUAAAGAAGCACCGGCUAACUACGUG